UGCCAGCAGCCGCGGUAACACGAACCGGACAAACGUUAUUCGGAAUCACUGGGCUUAAAGAGUACGUAGGCGGCCUGGUAAGUUGGGUGUGAAAUCCCACGGCUCAACCGUGGAACUGCGCUCAAUACUGCCAGGCUCGAGGGAGAUAGAGGUGAGCGGAACUGAUGGUGGAGCGGUGAAAUGCGUUGAUAUCAUCAGGAACACCGGUGGCGAAAGCGGCUCACUGGGUCUCUUCUGACGCUGAGGUACGAAAGCUAGGGUAGCGAACGGGAUUAGAUA
This 279-nucleotide ribosomal RNA is filed under the name uncultured bacterium. RNAcentral describes it as "partial 16S ribosomal RNA". It matches the Rfam family "Bacterial small subunit ribosomal RNA", at positions 506 to 784 of the family's 1533-position model. The record is from RNAcentral.